This 405-nucleotide ribosomal RNA is filed under the name uncultured prokaryote. Its description in RNAcentral is "bacterial SSU rRNA". It matches the Rfam family "Bacterial small subunit ribosomal RNA", at positions 355 to 774 of the family's 1533-position model. The record is from RNAcentral.
UUAGGAAUUUUGCGCAAUGGGAGAAAUCCUGACGCAGCAACGCCGCGUGGGUGAUGAAGGCCUUCGGGUUGUAAAGCCCUUUUAGUGGGGACGAAAUAAAUGACGGUACCCGCAGAAAAAGCACCGGCUAACUCUGUGCCAGCAGCCGCGGUAAUACAGAGGGUGCAAGCGUUAUUCGGAAUUACUGGGCGUAAAGCGCAUGUAGGCGGUUCGGUAAGUUUGAUGUGAAAGCCCCCGGCUCAAUCGGGGAAGUGCAUCGGAUACUGCCGGACUGGAGUACAGGAGGGGAGAACGGAAUUCCUGGUGUAGAGGUGAAAUUCGUAGAUAUCAGGAGGAACAACGGCGGCGAAGGCGGUUCUCUGGACUGUAACUGACGCUGAGAUGCGAAAGCGUGGGGAGCAAACA